UACGAAGGGGGCUAGCGUUGUUCGGAAUUACUGGGCGUAAAGCGCACGUAGGCGGUUUGUUAAGUCAGGGGUGAAAUCCCGGAGCUUAACUUGGGAACUGCCAUUGAUACUAUUGAUCUUGAAUACCGUGGAGGUCAGCGGAAUAUGUCAUGUAGCGGUGAAAUGCUUAGAUAUGACAUAGAACGCCAAUUGCGAAGGCAGCUGGAUACGCGAAUAUUGACACUGAUGCGCGAAAGCGUGGGGAUCAAACAGG
RNAcentral lists this ribosomal RNA (253 nucleotides) under uncultured bacterium. Its description in RNAcentral is "partial 16S ribosomal RNA". It matches the Rfam family "Bacterial small subunit ribosomal RNA", at positions 524 to 776 of the family's 1533-position model. The record is from RNAcentral.